GAUGAAGAACGCAGCGAAAUGCGAUAUGUAAUGUGAAUUGCAGAAUUCAGUGAAUCAUCGAGUCUUUGAACGCACAUUGCGCCCCCUGGUAUUCCGGGGGGCAUGCCUGUCCGAGCGUCAUUGCUGCCCUCAAGCACGGCUUGUGUGUUGGGCCUCCGUCCUCCUCCCGGGGGACGGGCCCGAAAGGCGGCGGCGGCACCGCGUCCGGUCCUCGAGCGUAUGGGGCUUCGUCACCCGCUCUUGUAGGCCCGGCCGGCGCUUGCCGACACAUCAAUCUUUUUUCCAGGUUGACCUCGGAUCAGGUAGGGAUACCCGCUGAACUUAAGCAUAUCAAUAAGCGGAGGA
Molecule: unclassified non-coding RNA, 345 nt
Filed under: soil metagenome
Description: partial contains 5.8S ribosomal RNA, internal transcribed spacer 2, and large subunit ribosomal RNA
Rfam family: 5.8S ribosomal RNA (bases 1-120)
Source: RNAcentral